GAAAACACUCGGCACAGUCCUUAGAAAAAAUUUCUAAAAAUAAUGCAAGUACCUUAAGCCAAGAUGAGAUAACUA
This 75-nucleotide transfer RNA is filed under the name Escherichia phage vB_Eco_F26. RNAcentral's name for it is "tRNA-Asn". Lineage: Duplodnaviria; Heunggongvirae; Uroviricota; Caudoviricetes; Pantevenvirales; Straboviridae. The record is from RNAcentral.